RNAcentral lists this long non-coding RNA (9725 nucleotides) under Trifolium pratense (red clover). RNAcentral describes it as "long non-coding RNA (TPRA_LNC003627)". Lineage: Eukaryota; Viridiplantae; Streptophyta; Magnoliopsida; Fabales; Fabaceae. The record is from RNAcentral.
AGCUCUUGAGAUUGUUAAACUCUUGGUUGAUGCUGGAGCUGAUACUGAUUGUCUUGAUGAGAUAAUUAAGCAGAAAUUAUUGGUGGCUAAUUCGAAAGAAUUAUUAGGAGGUGAGAAGAAAGAAUAUGCUGUUGAUAUAUCAUUGCCUGAUAUAAAUAGUGGUGCUUUAGGAACAGAUGAGUUUAGAAUGUAUAGUUUCAAGGUGAAGACUUGUUCAAGGGGUUACUCUCAUGAUUGGACUGUGUGUCCAUUUGUUCAUCCAGGGGAGAAUGCUAGAAGGAGAGAUCCAAGGAAGUAUCCUUAUAGUUGUGUUCCAUGCCCCGAGUUUCGCAAAGGGACAUGCCAGAAGAAAGAUUCAUGUGAGUAUUCACAUGGUGUCUUUGAGUCUUUGCUUCAUCCUUCACAAUAUAGAACAAGGCUUUGUAAAGAUGAGCUUAAGUGUUCUAGGAAAGUGUGUUUCUUUGCACAUAAACCUGAAGAGUUGCGCCCGUUGUAUGCUUCUACUGGUUCAGCAAUGCCUUCACAAGAAUCCUUACCGGUUUCAAAUGUUUCAACACCAGUUAUGUCUCCCUUGGUAGCUGGUUCGUCUCUUAAGAGUGGAAACUUGUGGCAGAAUAAAAUCAAUCAAUCUCCACCUUCAUUGCAACUUCCACGUAGCCUCCAGCUGAAAAAUACUUCGAGUGCAAAGGAUUUGUAUCAGGAAAUGGCACUUCUUGAUAUCGAAAGAGCUAUUAGUCAACAACAGCAGCAGCAGUUGAUUGAAGAAAUUCUUUCAAUGCAACCUUCAACUCCUACUCAAUUUCAAUCGAUGAGUAGGCUUCAGAUGAACCAAAACAGGAACAAUAUUCAAGCAAGUUAUCCAUUCAACAACAUUGUUUCCUCUCCUAUGAGAAAAUCAUCACCAUCUGGAUUUAACUCAUCAGCUGCUGUGGCUACAGCAGUGAUGAACUCAAGAUCAUCAGCCUUUGCAACACGAAGCCAAAGUUUUAUGGAUCGCGGUGCGGCGAGACACCAUCUUGGUGCUUCCAAACCCAAUGGCAGGAUGAACUCCGAACAAUGGGAUGAUGUGAACAAGUUCCAAAAAUCUGUUUCUUUUGGGUCGAGAUAUAAUGGGGUAGCUGCCCCACCCUUGGCGCGCCAGCCAGAAUAUGCUGAACCGGAUAUCUCGUGGGUUCAUUCACUUGUUAAAGACGUUUCUUCUGAAAGUUCUGAGAUGUUUGGUUCUAAGAAGCAACAUUAUGAUCUCUAUAAACAAAUGUUACCACCAUGGGCAGAGCAGAUUGUAGCAUAAAGCGUCAUUAUUAUCUAUUUAUUUAUUUAUUUAUUAAUUGAAUUGUUGUUAGCAUAUGGAAAUUACAUAGACAAAGUCUUUGAUCGGUACUCCCUUCGUCUCACAACGAGUAACCCAUUUGUAAAAUAACAAUGUCAUCAAAAUGAAUGACCUUUUUCAAUUUUUAAUGCAAUAUUAAUUAUUUUUCCAAUUAUACUCUCUAAUUAAUUUUUUUUUUGAAUUACUCUCAAUUCGAUAUCGGAAAUGCUGAAUCUAGCGACAAAAAUUUCACGAACUAUUCUGCGAAUGAGUUGUCAAACAUUAAUUAAUGUUUCACUUAAUUACUUGAUUGGUCACAUUCAUAAUUUCNNNNNNNNNNNNNNNNNNNNNNNNNNNNNNNNNNNNNNNNNNNNNNNNNNNNNNNNNNNNNNNNNNNNNNNNNNNNNNNNNNNNNNNNNNNNNNNNNNNNNNNNNNNNNNNNNNNNNNNNNNNNNNNNNNNNNNNNNNNNNNNNNNNNNNNNNNNNNNNNNNNNNNNNNNNNNNNNNNNNNNNNNNNNNNNNNNNNNNNNNNNNNNNNNNNNNNNNNNNNNNNNNNNNNNNNNNNNNNNNNNNNNNNNNNNNNNNNNNNNNNNNNNNNNNNNNNNNNNNNNNNNNNNNNNNNNNNNNNNNNNNNNNNNNNNNNNNNNNNNNNNNNNNNNNNNNNNNNNNNNNNNNNNNNNNNNNNNNNNNNNNNNNNNNNNNNNNNNNNNNNNNNNNNNNNNNNNNNNNNNNNNNNNNNNNNNNNNNNNNNNNNNNNNNNNNNNNNNNNNNNNNNNNNNNNNNNNNNNNNNNNNNNUCGGUACUCCCUUCGUCUCACAACGAGUAACCCAUUUGUAAAAAAACAAUGUCAUCAAAAUGAAUGACCUUUUUCAAUUUUUAAUGCAAUAUUAAUUAUUUUUUCCAAUUAUACUCUCUAAUUAUAUAUUUUUUUUAAUUACUCUCAAUUCGAUAUCGGAAAUGCUGAAUCUAGCGACAAAAAUUUCACGAACUAUUCUGCGAAUGAGUUGUCAAACAUUAAUUAAUGUUUCACUUAAUUACUUGAUUGGUCACAUUCAUAAUUUCCCAACGUGGUAUUCAAACUAGCGUAAUACUUAUAGUAUAGUAGUACUAGUUAGUCUCAACCCAUAAAAAUUUACAAAUGGAAAAGAUUUUUUUUUAAUUUAUGUUUUAAGUAAUAUUUUUAAAAUAAUUUAGUAGCAAGAAUUUUAGUGUUUAAAAUAAAUAAGUAAAGUCCCCGUGACAUUAACUCAGUUGUUGGUAGGGACAUCGCACUAUAUGUGCAAGAGCUCGGGUUCGAACCCGUAACACUCCACUUAUUCACCUUUAACAUAAAUUUUUUAGCCAUUAGGCUACUUGACCAAAAUAAUAAUAAGUAAGUAAAAAUGUCUAAGUUUAAAUUCUGACUCUUACAUAUUGCAAAAUUUAAAAGUUUAAAUUAUAUUUUUUAUCUUUUAAGUUUAUUUUAGGUUUCAUUUUGAUCCAAUUAUACUUUGGUUUAUUAACUUGUAAAGUUAUGAAUGUUGGACACUUGAUCUUUUAAGUUAUAAACUCUAGACAAUUUUUUUCUCCUUGUUCAAUUACUUGUAGGUUGAUGGCUAAAUAUCAAACAAGGUUUGAAAAAGGAUGUGGUUUUGAGAACAUUAUCACACCUAAAAUUAGAAAGGUGCUUGAUACUACAAUGCAAGAUGGAAGAAUGUUUGUACUCACAUAUGCAGGUGAUGAUGAGUUUGAAGUGAAAGAUGGAUAUACAUCCCAUGCCAUUGUGAUCUAGAAUAUGUGGUUGUGAUUAUUGGAGGGUGGUUUAUUGCUUAUGUUAUAAUGAGAUUAUACAUCCCAUGCCUGAGUUGGACAUAAAAAAUAGAGGCAGUUAUGGUACAGAAGGAUGGCUUCAAUUGGGGAAAAGAUGCAACUGAUUUUAAUCCAUACCGAUUUCCUGUCAAAUAUUACAAAAGGAUCAGGUACUGGCCGCGACCGCGAUGCAUAGCUUGCAGGUCUUGUAACCUAUGUGGAACCUCGAGAUUUGUAACUUAACUAUGUUUUAGUCCUUCGCUGUGGAUUAAUAUAUAAUGUCUUCUGUUAAUCUUUCAAUAUUGAUAUUUCUUAUAGGUUCUGAAUAAAAACUUUAUUAUGGAAUCAGCUCGUUUGUACUUAACGACCCUAGCAAAAAUGCAGCAUUUCUUCCUUUUGGAUCCUGUUGGUUAGAAAUUUGUUAUCCGAGUUGUUGCCACAUUGCUGGCAUCAUUGCUCAAGAUAUACGAGGUUCGUCCUGUGAUGUGAAUUAUUAUUCUUGUUCUUGAUACUUCUGUUACAAGAGAAAGACAUGAAAACAAUCUGAAUCAUAAAAUUGCAGAACUACAAAAUGUUUAGUCUGUGAAUGAAAAGGUGACACUUUGAGCAUGAUGUGAAAAGAGUGGCCUGUGAUUUUAAGAAGUUUAUGUUUCUUCUAUACAAUAGCAAAGUGAAUAGAUAUGAAUAGACUGAAUUAAAAUUUGAUGACUAUAAAUUACAAGUAUUUUCAUCAAUUUAUUUAUUUAUUUUUAUAAGAUUUUUCAUCAAUUUAUUAUUCCAUAAUUCCGUGGAUGUUACAACUUACAAGUUACAACAGUAAUAUUUUUUUUUUUGUAAUCAGGAUAUAAUGUGCAUUACUUAAUAAAAAAUUAAUAUAUAAAUUUCGGUAACAACUGAUGAUAGUUUUAUAUACAAAUAAGGCUCAAGACAGGCGCAUGAGUGUCAAUUUCCAUCCGUUAACAAAAAAUAUCGUGGAGAUUAUCUAUUUGGAGCUUCGAAGUCGGGAAUUUUUUUCCUGCCGGAACUGGGAUGGGAUGGAGGAAAUAUUCCCCAAAAACAUUUUAGGGCGGGGAUCAGAGAAGUACUCUCUGCCACCGCAGAUUCCUUGACCCCGUCCAUAUUAUUUAAGUUAUAUAUCUAUACCUACAUAUAAAGAGGAUACAAAAAAUUUUGGUGUAGACUUUUUUUUUUAGCAGCAAAAAUCUUUUAUUAAUAAACUCACCCUAACAUUUGUCUUCUUUUUUUUUUUACAAAAAUUUGCAUAAUAGAAAAUAUGGAUCACACAGACAGGUGCGGAAUGCGCCCUGUCUGGCCGUUAGUAAUAUAUAAAAUAAUUAUAAUUAUACUUCCUCCUUUUUUUAUUGUCCAUUUACGUUGGAUUUAGCGUUUCUAUUUAACUGUCCAUUUGAUAUUUUAAGGGUACGAUUUGUCAAUUACUCUUAUCUUUUUCAAUAAAACUAAUUAAUGCUAUAUAUUUGAAAAACUAAUUUUUUUUUUUGGUAUAUGACAUGUUAAUUUUUUUUUGUACAUAAUAUAUUAAAUUUAUUGGAAAGAGAAAGUAUAUGCAAAAAAAAAUAAGAAUUUAUUGGUGGAUUAUUUAGGAUAUAAUAGUAAGAUAAGGUGCAAAAAUACACUUUCUUAAUUUUGUAUAACUAUUCUAAAUCGAUAGUUAAAUAAAACGGAGGAAGUAUAACUUUAGAUGUUUUUUUAUAAUUAUUUUUUAUAAAAAAAAUAGUUAAUAUGUCAGAAAACAAGAACAUACAUAGUGUACACACCAUCUACUCCUUUUAUUUUCUUUGUUAUUGAUGCCGAAAAUAUUUUUAUUUUAAAAAAAAAUUAAAGACGCAAGAUACAUAUAUUGUUUUAGAAAAAGGAGAAAAAAAAGUUAUUAGUGUCAUGCUUUUGAUAAAAAAAAAAAGUUUAGAAAUUUUGUUAAUUUUUCGAUAUUCGUAGAUCUCUAUGAGUACUGUGAGGAUCUGUGUCGAUAGGGAAGAAUAUUUCCCCGUAGCGGGGAUGGAGAACGAAUUUGGAGACAAGACAAGGGGUGGGGAAACAUUUCCACACAUUCUAUGCCCAGCUGACAUCCCUAUGCUCAUAUGGUGACCGACUCAUAACCAAUCUUAAAGAAAUCAUCUUCUUCAACAUCAUCCUAACUCAAAAAAAUUGUUUGUGAGAAGGACCGGUAAAAAAAAAAAGAAUUUACUCACUUUAGAAGAGUCAAAUUCUUUUUUAUAUUUUUUGCUCUCCGUCAAAUUCUUUAUUUUUUUAUUUUUGUUUGGUCAAGUAGUCAAAUGACUAGAAUUUCACCCUUAUAGAUGAAUAAUAAAUGGAGUGAUUAAGAUUCAAACUUUAACUUCUACAUGUAAAAUGUAAUCUCCUACCGACUUAUAUAAGUUCUUUGCAACAACUAUUUCUUGUUAUAUGAUUGCUAUUUGUUUUAUUAGGCGUGGCUGAUGUAGCAUUGGCCCAUAUUAAUUUUUGAAGGCCCAUAUUGAUUUUUGAAGCCCAAAUAACUAGAUCAAACCCUAGCAUCUAAUAAAACACCACUAUAUAAACAACUAAACACACAAUUUGCAGCUGAAUUCAUUCGGAAACCCUAAAUCGUGUGCCUCCACAAUUACCACAAUUCACCAGCAACAAUGAGUUCCGGCGAAUUGGGCUGCAUCUACGCCACUUUGAUUCUUCACGAUGAUGGAAUCCCAAUCACCGUUAGUCUAUUUUCUCUCUUCAAUUCUUUUUCUUUUCGAUAAUCUUCAAAUUGUUCAUAGAUCUCAAUUUUCAUUUUUAUUGUUUCUGUAGGCGGAGAAAAUCAGCACUUUGUUGAAGGCUGCUAAUGUCACCGUUGAAUCCUACUGGCCAAGCUUAUUCGCUAAGCUUGCUCAGAGCAAGAACGUUGAUGAUCUCGUUUUGAACUCUGGCGCUGCCGGUGGUGCCGCUGUUGUCUCAUCCGCACCUGCUGCUGGUGGUGGUGCCGCAGCAGCAGCCGCACCUGCCGUUGAGGAGAAGAAGGUACUAAUUUUAGUUCUUUUUUAUUUUGUAUUUUAUUGUUUUAUGAUAUUUUACUGAUCGAUAAAUUUGCCAAAUAAUAUUGAAAUUGAAAACGGAUUUAGUAUAAAGUUGAUUGAACAAUCUGUUAAGAUGUGAUUAAUUUGAAUAUCCAAGACACAUUAAGAUAGUACGCAGUAUUUAUUUAUAAGGUUCAAUAUGUUUAGAUGGUUAAUUUGAAUAUAAUGUAGUAUUACAUGAAUAAUAAGACAGUGUAUUUAAAAGGUUUGAAAUUCUAUAAGUAUUGUUUAUGUUGCUGGGAUUUAUUACUGGCUUGAAUGUUUUGAACGAUGUCUGAUAUUGACCAUUUUGUAGAACAUGCAAAUAGGUUUAUUUCUCAUUACUUCCAUGUAAAUAAUUUUCCUUCAUUUGCUGCAAUCAACAUUUGAAUAUUAAUUAAAGAAAAUUGUUCUUCCACUUAGAAGAUUACACAAUGAAUGGUAGGUUAACGGGUAACAAGCUGGGCCUUUAACCCUUUUUUUAAUGGCAAUAUCAAUCCUCUUAAAACCAACCCGCCUACCCUUUCUGCUCGUUGUUUUGGUCAACCAUUCACUAUCAUUGUUGACUACUACGUUGAACUAUGCUCUUAAUGUGAUAUUUUAAAUAUAUCGUAUCAUGUGUUUUGUUUCAUUGUGAUUCUAGAUUUGAUCUAUCAUUUUUGCAUAACUCUUAUGAUUAUAAUUAUAUACACCUUUGGUACUUCAUUCUUUCUAAAAGUUGAUAAAUUAUUGUAGUUUGCUUGAUGUAGUGCAUUAUCCCCAAUGCACAAAUUUAGGUUACUGCUUAAAUUUAUGUUGUACACGGAACUAAGUGCACUUCAUAUGUCUUUGCAGGAAGAAGCUAAGGAAGAAAGUGACGAUGACAUGGGCUUUAGUCUGUUUGAUUAAGUUUAUAAUUAUAGUUUCUCUUAGUUUGACUAGGACUCUUAUCAAGGAGUGGCUGGAUCCGAAACUUGUUUUGUUUUAUAAAUUGUUAAUCUGAGUUUUAAGAAUUUACUAUCGCUUUUUAUUGUUGAAUUUUGGUGGAUUUUUUUGAUAUAUUUGUGACAAUCGAAUAUCUGAAUGAGAUGUUUAUUUUCUUGUUAUAUAUGAAUUGGAUGUUUAUCUUUUAACUAAUUUUUUUAGUUUUACUUUGGUCUCCUAUAUUAUGAAUGUUCCAUUGAGUCUUUUAACUAAGGUUUUGUUUUGGUCCUUCUCCUAAAGUAUAUUUCCGUCAACUGAAGUGGUAUUUUCUGUCUGUUUUAUUUAAACCAAAAUGUUUGUAGUGUCAAACACUAUUCUAAAUAAAAUAAGGCGGAGAACUGUUGUUCUUUGGAGUGGCGGAGUGCGGGGGUUGUUCCCAUCAUUUAAGGGGGACUGAGUUUUCCGAAUGAUAACUUUUUCUUUCUUUGGAAAAACCAAGUCAAAUAUCAUAUUGACUUUCUCUCUCCCAACUUCUAUUGCUGCACAUUGUGGCAAUUUUCAUAUUCUUUCUUAUAUUCUUCUUCAUCAACAUCUUCAACAUAACUCAUAUUCUUCUCUUUUUUUUGUUUUGAGAGAGGAGGGACGAAAACCAAAAUGAAUUGGACAUGCACGGACUAUUUUAAAAAAUAAUGGGAACAUGCAGGGACUAAAACCAAAAAAAUGGGAAUAUACAGGGACCAAUGUGAGAUUUAAGUUUUUUUUUUUUAAACCAAUCAAAACUCAUUUCCAUUCUUUCUCAUCUUCCAAUCUCAAAUCCAAAACUCAAAACAAUGAUGUUUGAUUAUUCUUCCUUUGAUUCAAAUCCAAUUUUAGAUCUAAAACUAAUUUUAAAGCCAUCAUCUCAUGUAUAAACCAAUUUAACCUAUUAGAAGUACACACUCAGAACAAGCAAACAAAAAAAACCCAACAAAUUCAAUUUUACAAAUAUUAAAAAUAUAUUUAACCCUAAAUUAUAUUACCUCCAAAAAUUCCUUUAUCCGAAGUCAUAAAUUUUUUUCUUUUUUGAGGUACAAAAUAAAUUCCUUGUUGAAACUCUAAACACAAACUUUUAGAAAUUUUUAAUAAAUAGAUUUAGUGAAUUAUUAAUUAAUCGUCAUUGUAAUUUUUUUUUUGUUCAGUGUUAUUUUCGAUCGUUAAGGAUAUUAUUCUCGUUAUGUUUUCUUGUGAAAAAUUUGAAGUUAAGUUUAUUAGGAGACAAGUGAAUUUGGUUGCUCAUACGCUAGCUAGGGCGGCCAAUUCUUAGACUAGUUUCCAUAUAUUUGAGAUUGUUCCUUCAUGUAUUGAACUUUUAGUGAUUAAUGAAAUGCAAUAAAUUUGUUUCGUUCAAAAAAAUAGUACGAAGUUGUUUGUUUUAAGUUCUCAUUUUAAUAUUAUUAUAUGAAUCAAAUUUGACGGAAUCAAACAUGUUUUAAAUUAUGAAAAAAGAUAACAUGUGUUUUUAGGAUAUAUGUUAAAACACUCGAUAUAAAAAAUUUACCUUAAAAAUAGGGCAGUCAAUUUUUGUAUAGUCAACAAGAUACUCCUUAACCUUAAUGAGCCCUUAAAUCACAUGUUACCAACACCCGUAAAAUAUUUCUAAACCAGAGUAUCUAUUUUUUAUUUUUUUUUUGGUACAACAAGAGUAUCCUAUUUAGUACACUAGUAUUUACUACCAGUCUACCACUAUAAUACAAGAGUGAAGUCAAGAACAAGGAGCGCGUGCGAACAUAUUGCAUUGAAAGACACCAACGUAGGAAUAUGAAGAAACAAUAAUUAAGAAAAACUUUGUGGGUCCAACUCUAGUUUGAAUAAUUGACUUUGAUCAGAUAAAAGUAUGAGUCAACAAUGAUUGAGUAGGAUUUAAGAAACAACAACGAAGAAAACUAACACUUUCCUCUCUUGUUCUUCUUUUUGUGUCAUAUCCAUCCACUACAAGUACAACCUUCUCACACAAUAAAAAACACAACACUUCCUCCAAUUCUCACUCACCUUCUUCACACUCAAAACCUUCUCAAUUUUCCUCUCUUAAACACAAAAUCCACUCAUGGAAAACAAAAUCCAAAACUCAGUUUUACUUGAGUUAUCAGCAACAGAUGAUAUUGAAGCAUUCAAAAGGGAAGUGGAAGAAAAGGGUUGUGAUGUAAAUGAAGCAGGAUUUUGGUAUUGUAGAAAAUUAGGAUCUAAGAAGAUGUGUUAUGAAAAGAGAACACCCCUUAUGGUUGCUUCUUUGUUUGGAAGCAAAAGGGUGGUCAAAUAUAUCAUUCAAUCAAACAUGGUUGAUGUUAGCAUGCCAAUUGGUUGUGAAAAUGUCACCGCGUUACAUUGUGCUGUUUCCGGUGGCUCUGAAUCCACUCUUGAGAUUGUUAAGCUCUUGGUUGAUGCUGGAGCAGAUAUUGAUUGUCUUGAUGAGAUAAUUAAACAGAAAUUUUCAGUUCUUAAUUCAAAAGAAUCAUUAGAAAGUGAGAAGAAAGAGUAUCCUGUUGAUAUAUCAUUGCCUGAUAUAAAUAGUGGUGCUUUCGGAACAGAUGAGUUUAGAAUGUAUGGUUUCAAGGUGAAGACUUGUUCAAGGGGUUACUCUCAUGAUUGGACUGUGUGUCCAUUUGUUCAUCCAGGGGAGAAUGCUAGAAGGAGAGAUCCAAGGA